Molecule: ribosomal RNA, 468 nt
Filed under: uncultured bacterium
Lineage: Bacteria
Description: partial 16S ribosomal RNA
Rfam family: Bacterial small subunit ribosomal RNA
Source: RNAcentral
GACGAACGCUGGCGGCGUGCCUAACACAUGCAAGUCGAACGGCAAGGCCCUGCUUUUGUGGGGUGCUCGAGUGGCGAACGGGUGAGUAACACGUGAGUAACCUGCUCUUGACUUUGGGAUAACUUCAGGAAACUGGGGCUACUACCGUAUAGCAGCUCCUGCUGCGUGGUGGGGGUUGGAAAGUUUCGGCGGUUGGGGAUGGACUCGCGGCUUAUGAGCUUGUUGGUUGGGUAGUGGCUUACCAAGGCUUUGAAGGGUAGCCGGCCUGUGAGGGUGACCGGCCACAUUGGGACUGAGAUACGGCCCAGACUCCUACGGGAGGCAGCAGUGGGGAAUAUUGCACAAUGGGCGGAAGUCUGAUGCAGCAGCGCCGCGUGCGGGAUGACGGCCUUCGGGGUGUAAACCGCUGUCGGCUGAGACGAAGCGUGAGUGACGGUAAUGGGUAAAGAAGCACCGGCUAACUACGUG